Molecule: ribosomal RNA, 253 nt
Filed under: uncultured bacterium
Lineage: Bacteria
Description: partial 16S ribosomal RNA
Rfam family: Bacterial small subunit ribosomal RNA
Source: RNAcentral
UACAGAGGUCCCAAGCGUUGUUCGGAUUCACUGGGCGUAAAGGGUGCGUAGAUGGCCGGGUAAGUCUGACGUGAAAUCUCCAAGCUCAACUUGGAAACUGCGUCGGAUACUAUCCGGCUAGAGGAUCGGAGGGGAGACUGGAAUACUUGGUGUAGCAGUGAAAUGCGUAGAUAUCAAGUGGAACACCAGUGGCGAAGGCGAGUCUCUGGACGAUUCCUGACACUGAGGCACGAAAGCCAGGGGAGCAAACGGG